GACGAACGCUGGCGGCGUGCUUAACACAUGCAAGUCGAACGGAAAGGCCCUGCUUUUGUGGGGUUCUCGAGUGGCGAACGGGUGAGUAACACGUGAGUAACCUGCCCUUGACUUUGGGAUAACUUCAGGAAACUGGGGCUCAUACCGGAUAUGAGCUCCUGCUGCAUGGUGGUGGUUGGAAAGUUUCGGCGGUUGGGGAUGGACUCGCGGCUUAUCAGCUUGUUGGUGGGGUAGUGGAUUACCAAGGCUUUGACGGGUAGGCGGCCUGAGAGGGUGAACGGCCACAUUGGGACUGAGAUACGGCCCAGACUCCUACGGGAGGCAGCAGUGGGGAAUAUUGCACAAUGGGCGGAAGUCUGAUGCAGAAACGCCGCGUGCGGGAUGACGGCCUUCGGGUUGUAAACCGCUUUCGCCGGUGCCGAAGAGUGAGUGACGGUAAUGGGUAAAGAAGCACCGGCUAACUACGUG
Molecule: ribosomal RNA, 468 nt
Filed under: uncultured bacterium
Lineage: Bacteria
Description: partial 16S ribosomal RNA
Rfam family: Bacterial small subunit ribosomal RNA
Source: RNAcentral